CCUACGGGUGGCAGCAGUGGGGAAUAUUGCACAAUGGGGGAAACCCUGAUGCAGCACCGCCGCGUGAAGGAAGACGGUUUUCGGAUUGUAAACUUCUGUUCUUCGUGAAGAAUAAUGACGUUAGCUAAGGAGCACGCCCCGGCUAACUACGUGCCAGCAGCCGCGGUAAUACGUAGGUGGCAAGCGUUGUCCGGAAUUACUGGGUGUACAGGGGGCGCAGGCGGGAAGCCCAGUCAGCUGUGAAAACUACGGGAUUAAGUUGGAGACUGCAGGUGAAACUGGUUUUCUUGAGUGAAGUAGAGGUUGGCGGAAUUCCGAGUGUAGCGGUGAAAUGCGUAGAUAUUCGGAGGAACACCGGUGGCGAAGGCGGCCAACUGGGCUUUAACUGACGCUGAGGCUCGAAAGUGUGGGGAGCAAACAGGAUUAGAUACCCGAGUAGUC
Molecule: ribosomal RNA, 441 nt
Filed under: uncultured bacterium
Lineage: Bacteria
Description: partial 16S ribosomal RNA
Rfam family: Bacterial small subunit ribosomal RNA
Source: RNAcentral